CAGUUCAGGAGAGACUACCCCCGAGAU
This 27-nucleotide ribosomal RNA is filed under the name Thrips tabaci. RNAcentral's name for it is "partial 28S ribosomal RNA". The record is from RNAcentral. Lineage: Eukaryota; Metazoa; Arthropoda; Insecta; Thysanoptera; Thripidae.